This 398-nucleotide long non-coding RNA is filed under the name Mytilus galloprovincialis (Mediterranean mussel). The record is from RNAcentral. Lineage: Eukaryota; Metazoa; Mollusca; Bivalvia; Mytilida; Mytilidae.
ACGGCCUUAUUUAUAUUAAAAAAAAAUGAACGAAAAACAAAUAUGUAACACAUAAACAAACAACAACCACUGAAUUACAGGCUCCUGACUUGGGACAGGCACAUACAUAAAUAAUGUGGCGGGGUUAAACAUGUUAGCGGGAUCUAUGUUUGUGUUCGAUCAUACAGUAUAAUAAGUCGGUAGUUGCCCGCGAAUGGAUUUUUUUUUAUUCUUUGCGUCUUAUUUGUUGAUUGCAGUUGGUUUUUGUUUUGUGUCAUGUGGAGAUAUGAUGUGAUUUUGUUUUUCUUUUGAUGUGUUUGCAUCUUAAAUUGGGAUUGCACCGAGUUAUUUCAUGAUUUCUUUUGUGCUAUAUUUUCGAUACAUUUUUAGUCUAUCUUAUAGCAUCUUACAAUUGUCCG